CCUACGGGAGGCAGCAGUGGGGAAUAUUGGGCAAUGGGCGAAAGCCUGACCCAGCAACGCCGCGUGAAGGAAGAAGGCUUUCGGGUUGUUAACUUCUUUUGACAGGGAAGAGCAGAAGACGGUACCUGUCGACUACGCCACGGCUAACUACGUGCCAGUAGCCGCGGUAAUACGUAGGUGGCAAGCGUUGUCCGGAUUUACUGGGUUUAAAGGGCGUGUAUCCGGGCUGACAAGUCAGAUGUGAAAUCCGGGGGCUCAACCCCCGAACUGCAUUUGAAACUGUUGGUCUUGAGUAUCGGAGAAGCAGGCGGAAUUCCUAGUGUAGCGGUGAAAUGCGUAGAUAUUAGGAGGAACACCAGUGGCGAAGGCGGCCUGCUGGACGACAACUGACGGUGAGGCGCGAAAGCGUGGGGAGCAAACAGGAUUAGAUACCCGAGUAGUC
This 442-nucleotide ribosomal RNA is filed under the name uncultured bacterium. RNAcentral's name for it is "partial 16S ribosomal RNA". It matches the Rfam family "Bacterial small subunit ribosomal RNA", at positions 338 to 795 of the family's 1533-position model. The record is from RNAcentral.